RNAcentral lists this ribosomal RNA (250 nucleotides) under uncultured bacterium. Its description in RNAcentral is "partial 16S ribosomal RNA". It matches the Rfam family "Bacterial small subunit ribosomal RNA", at positions 524 to 773 of the family's 1533-position model. The record is from RNAcentral.
UACGUAGGGUGCAAGCGUUAAUCGGAAUUACUGGGCGUAAAGGGUGCGCAGGCGGUUUUUUAAGUCAGCGGUGAAAUACCUGGGCUUAACCUAGGAAUGGCCGUUGAGACUGGAAGGCUAGAGUGUGUCAGAGGGGGGUAGAAUUCCACGUGUAGCAGUGAAAUGCGUAGAGAUGUGGAGGAAUACCGAUGGCGAAGGCAGCCCCCUGGGAUAACACUGACGCUCAAGCACGAAAGCGUGGGGAGCAAAC